UAAAACAAAUUAACCUUAAUUUGAAAUUAAGAAACGGAUGGUCUCCAUGUUU
RNAcentral lists this transfer RNA (52 nucleotides) under Lernaea cyprinacea. RNAcentral's name for it is "tRNA-Ser". The record is from RNAcentral. Lineage: Eukaryota; Metazoa; Arthropoda; Copepoda; Cyclopoida; Lernaeidae.